RNAcentral lists this ribosomal RNA (492 nucleotides) under uncultured bacterium. RNAcentral's name for it is "partial 16S ribosomal RNA". It matches the Rfam family "Bacterial small subunit ribosomal RNA", at positions 29 to 507 of the family's 1533-position model. The record is from RNAcentral.
AGUGAACGCUGGCGGUAGGCCUAACACAUGCAAGUCGAACGGCAGCACAGUAAGAGCUUGCUCUUACGGGUGGCGAGUGGCGGACGGGUGAGGAAUACAUCGGAAUCUACUUUUUCGUGGGGGAUAACGUAGGGAAACUUACGCUAAUACCGCAUACGACCUACGGGUGAAAGCAGGGGAUCUUCGGACCUUGCGCGAUUGAAUGAGCCGAUGUCGGAUUAGCUAGUUGGCGGGGUAAAGGCCCACCAAGGCGACGAUCCGUAGCUGGUCUGAGAGGAUGAUCAGCCACACUGGAAGGGAGACGAGGUCCAGACUCCUACGGGAGGCAGCAGUGGGGAAUAGUGGACAAUGGGCGCAAGCCUGAUCCAACCAUACCGCGUGGGUGAAGAAGGCCUUCGGGUUGUAAAGCCCUUUUGUUGGGAAAGAAAAGCAGCAGGUUAAUACCCCGCUGUUCUGACGGUACCCAAAAAAUAAGCACCGGCUAACUUCGUG